AGUGCAACUGUAGCGUUUCUGACUCCAGAUCAGAGGGUUGCGUGUUCAAAUCACGU
This 56-nucleotide transfer RNA is filed under the name Schistosoma haematobium. The record is from Rfam by way of RNAcentral. Lineage: Eukaryota; Metazoa; Platyhelminthes; Trematoda; Strigeidida; Schistosomatidae.